GAGCAAGGCUGCCUCACCUGUGUGCUCAACAGCCCUAUGGGCCAGAAGAAAGACACCCUGCACCUGGGGAGCAUCGGUGCACAGAAUGGUUCUCAAGAGCGUCACCCUCCGGCUUUUGAAGAGUUCUUCCAUACGAUGAAAGGGUGUGAGUCCAGAUCUGCAAACAAAACCACAGUCAACAGGAUCUCGGUUUAUUGUGGUUUAAUUAUGACUUGCUCCACCACCCAAGAGGACAGCAAGCAAGAUACAAGGAAACAGAUUAAACAGGUCCUGAGAGAGAGCAAACCCAUGAGACACUGACAUAGUCCUUUUCAGUUGAAUGACCACUCUUACACUGUCCAGUAAAAAAAAAAUGGCCAUUAGAGCACUCAGUUGAUUUUAAAGUGAAGAACAACUAAAUUAAUCAUUAGAUAUUUUCUAGUUACUGAAAGGGACUGCACAUCACAAGACAUGGGUUGUCAUAAUAGGAGAAAAGAGAAGUUAGAGACCAAGGAGUGUAAAAGUUGAAGUAAGAGCAUGACAUGUACUGAAAGGAAGUCAUCUAAAUUGAGAAUUUUAAAAAUGUACAUUUAAUAUAAUUUAUGGUUCAUGUGUACUAUGACAGCUACAUUCAACAUAAAAUAAUUCAGUGUAUAUGUGUUUAUGUAUAUUGGAAAAAUGAUUGAAAAUCUUUAGGAAUAUGGCA
Molecule: long non-coding RNA, 685 nt
Organism: Erinaceus europaeus (western European hedgehog)
Lineage: Eukaryota; Metazoa; Chordata; Mammalia; Eulipotyphla; Erinaceidae
Exons: 2
Source: RefSeq, a predicted model, not a curated record